AAACUGCGAUAAGUAGUGUGAAUUGCAUUUAGUGAAUCAUCGAAUCUUUGAACGCACCCUGCACUCACUGGUAUUCCGGUGAGUACGCCUGUUUCAUUAUCAUUGAAAACACACAAUCAAAACAUUUUCUUUGGUUUGAUUGGCUUUGGGUCUAUCAAAAAGUUUGGCUUGUUUCUUACAAGCCAAGCGGCCUGAAAUAUAUUGUCUGGCUAAUUGCAUCGUUGAUGAUCGCUAUUAGACUUUGGCUUUUUUAAAUGAACUGGAGGUUGAUUAACCAGUUUUAGCUUUAGUCAAAUGGUCAUUGUAAAAAAAAUCUCGAUCUUGGCUAGGUGUUUAUAGCCGAAAAUUUUUUUUUGGCUAUAACCGAAACCAAUAUAAUCACAUUUAGUUAUCGAUCUGAAAUCAGGUGGGACUACCCGCUGAACUUAAGC
Molecule: unclassified non-coding RNA, 431 nt
Filed under: plant metagenome
Description: partial contains 5.8S ribosomal RNA, internal transcribed spacer 2, and large subunit ribosomal RNA
Rfam family: 5.8S ribosomal RNA (bases 1-102)
Source: RNAcentral